RNAcentral lists this long non-coding RNA (2026 nucleotides) under Homo sapiens (human). RNAcentral describes it as "HSALNT0151009". The record is from RNAcentral. Lineage: Eukaryota; Metazoa; Chordata; Mammalia; Primates; Hominidae.
AAAUUACAAAUUUACUAAAGCAAAAGUACACUUCACAGAGUGAGAGCAGGCUCAAGCAAGCGGCCCAAGACCCCCAGUUGUAGUGUUCUUUAGGGUUUUUAUCAAACUAAAAUAAUUUGGUAACACCCAUAGGUACACUUUAGAGGCUGCCAAUUGGUAACACUCUAAGCAAAUGAAGGCUUGGUUCGUGAGCAAUCAGAGGCUGAAGUGGAAGCAUGGCCCCUGAUGAAUAAGAGGCAUUUCUCGUUUGUGAUGUAGGGGAGAGGGGGUUUUGUAGAGGGAGGAGCCUCUGGCCUCUUGUCACUUGGGCAUGCAGAGGUGGGGUUUUCCUUUCAGCCCAGUUCGAAGAAGAAAGCCAUGGGUUGGCCUUAGGCUCCUUGUCUCCAGACCCUAUUCUCCUGCCUCAGCUGAAGCUGAUGUGUCUCUGAUUCCAAAGCCUGAAAAAUUUUCGUUAUAUUAUACCAGCUUUGUUACUGAAAAGAACAUUCAGGAAUGUAGUUAAUAACCACUGGUGUUCAAGGACCUGUUUUAAUUAAUAAAAAUGAUUUACAUUAAACAUUAAAUUUUAAUUUAAAAUAAAUGCAUUUGAGGCAUUGAAAAUAAUUUGUUUUCUAAAUAUGACAUUCCCACAAGUUUUAUACAUUAUGAAUUGCCUUUAAAUAUUCUCCCUCUUCUAGUCCUUAGACACUGAGGAGUAUAUGUCAACCCAUUUGACAAGGUUCAAAUUAAUGCAUUUCCUGAAUUAUCCAAUCUAAAUUAAUGAGGUUGUUCAUAUGGACCACAAUAAUUUCAGCAAUUUCUUCUAUUUUUUUUAAUCUGUGCUGUGGUUUAAAUCUUUUCUCUUGACCUGUCUUUUAAUUCACUAUCCCUAUUUUCUGGUGUGUUUAAUCUGCUGUUAAAUCCAUUUAUUGAGUUCUUAAUUGUGGAUAUUGUAUUUUUCAAGCCAAUAACUGCCAUUUGAUUAUUCCAUAUAGAUUUCAGCUCUCCAGUAAAAUAAUUUAUCUUCUGCUCUAUUUUCUUCAACAUAGUAAUCACAGCUAUUCUAAAGUCAUUGUCUAAUAAUUCUAAUACCUAGUUCUCCAGUGAGAUUGUUUACAUUAUCUUUUUUAUUUUUGGUCUUGGGUUUUGGUUGUAUAGUCCUAUCAUAUCACAAGACAAGUCACUUUUGAUUGGAUAAUGGACAUUGUUUACAACAAUUGUAAAAGCUUUGGAUGAUGUUAUCAUUUUCAUCGAAGUUCAUUCUUUUCUUUGCUAGACAAAGUGAGAGCAAAUCCUCUUAACUCAAGGAUUGAACCAAGUCAAGGCUGGAUGACUUUUAGCUAAUGCUCAGUCCAUUUCUAGCUUGCUAUUUUACCUAUGGUUUUGUGCCCCAGGACUUUCAGCUGAGAACAUAAUUUGUUCACCAUGACCCCAAACCCUUGAAGGUCCUGAAAUCUACCUUCUGUGUUCUGUGAAGCUGAAAAAUUCUGAUCUGCAUUUCAGAUGUUUUCAGAUAUUAUUUAUGGUCUUCUGCACAGUGAAAUUUUCAAAUGUGGAAAAUGUCUUGGGAAGAAAAAUGAUGUGGUUUUGAAAAUCCUCAAGAAUCUGGUUUUGUCUCUUCGGCCAGCUUAGACUGACAAAUGGUAUGAUGCCUUUGUCCUCCAGAAAGGCCCUUAUCCUGGGCAAAGCUUACCUGUUCUCAGCCCCUUGUCUGUGCCCAGAACAAGCAAGUUCUGGGAACACUGGUUACAGGUUGUCAUCUGCUGACCUCUCUAUUGCUAGAUCCUCUCUGGAAUCUUAGACCCUGUAUCCUGAUUUCUUCAGUAGCUCACCGAUGCCUUUAAAUUUAGAAGUUUUACAUUUUGUCUGGAUUUUUUUGUUAUGUAAAAGAUCAUUAGCCUACAGAAAACUACUCCAUCUUAUCCAGGUCCAGAAGUCUCACAUCUGUGGGCUCCUCUCCCUUGCCCUUGCAUUAUACGAUGCACAUACUUUUCCAUGGUCCAGGUUUCUUUUGUGCUCUGGAAUUUAAAUAUAAACAAACAAAACC